RNAcentral lists this ribosomal RNA (402 nucleotides) under Triticum aestivum (bread wheat). RNAcentral's name for it is "partial small subunit ribosomal RNA". The record is from RNAcentral. Lineage: Eukaryota; Viridiplantae; Streptophyta; Magnoliopsida; Poales; Poaceae.
AUGGUGUCAGAACAUACGAUGCUUCAAAAGAAUGGUUGUACCACCUCUGGUGAAGGAGCUUGUCCUGAAUGUCAUUCUAACACAUGUUCUCUUAGGCUGAAUAAUGGUAGCAAGACAUGCUACAUGGGGCAUCGCAGGUUCUUACAUGAAGACCAUCCCUUUAGGUCCAAUACCCAUUCUUUUGAUGGCAUUGCUGAGCAUAGGCCAGUGCCAAUUCCUCUCUCUGGAUCAGAAAUUGUUACUCAGACGGAAGAUAUGCAUACAGUUUUUGGGAAGGAUCCUUCCGAGAAGAAGAAAACCAAGAGAAAGCGCAAUGAUGAUGAGCCGUUAAUAGUUUGGAAAAGGAAGUCUAUUUUUUCAGGCUACCAUAUUGGGAGAGCUUGUUGCUGCGUCACAACUUAG